Molecule: long non-coding RNA, 9508 nt
Filed under: Salmo salar (Atlantic salmon)
Lineage: Eukaryota; Metazoa; Chordata; Actinopteri; Salmoniformes; Salmonidae
Description: lncRNA (ENSSSAG00000097819.1)
Rfam family: UnaL2 LINE 3' element (bases 1020-1073)
Source: RNAcentral
CAUUAUGCCUCUGAUGUGUUUCUUCAUCACCAACAAAUAAGACAAGUUUAAGCAUAGUGAUUGUUUGUUUGUUUCCCUCUUGAUUUAUUUCUCCAGGUGCUCCAGUGUCAAAAGGCCAUUUCAGUCAUCCCAACAACAGUUGGACAUUUGAAUGUGUUGAGUGAUUAUUGCAUAGGAACUUAAUUCAACAGUAUUUCACUUUAUUGCAUAGUCCCAAUGCAUAUCUGUUGAGUGAUUAUUGCAUACGAACUUAAUGACACAGUCUUUCACUUUAUUUAGAUUGUCCCAAUGCAAAUCUACAGAGGAUUACUUGUCACGUCCUGACCAGUAAAAGAGGUUGUUUGUUAUUGUAGUUUGGUCAGGGCGUGGCAGGGGGUGUUUGUUUUAUGUGUUUCGGGGGUUUUGGUAGAUGUUCUAUGUUAGUAUAUUUCUAUGUCCGUGUCUAGUUUUUCUAUUUCUAUGUUUAGGAUUUUUGUUUGACCUUCAAUUGGAGGCAGCUGUUUCUUGUUGCCUCUGAUUGGAGGUCCUAUUUAGGGUUAGGGUUAGGGUUUUUCAGCUUGUGUUUGUGGGUGGUUGUUUUCAGUCUAGUGUUUUGUACCUGACGGAACUGUUAAGCUGUCGUUUGGUUCUUGUUUUGUUUACGUGUUCAAUAAAAGUUAAAAAUGAGCACUCAACCCGCUGCGCCUUGGUCUACUCCCUUCGACGGCCGUUACAUUACUGGAGUGUUAGUGAAUGCACAUCAGUUGAUACAUAUUUGAAUGUGAAGUAUAUAGUCUGUAGACCAACUAAAAUCAACUUGUGUUUCACUUUAUUUGGAUAGUCCAAAAGCAUAUCUACAGAUAGAACAAUAGAAUGAACUUGUUACUGAUACACAGUUGAGAUGCUGCUGAUAAUCUCCUGUUUGUUUGUUAAUCAUCUAUAGUCCCGUGUGGCUCAGUUGGUAGAGCAUGGUGUUUGCAACGCCAGGGUUGCAAACACACGGGGGACCAGUACGGGGAAAAACUUUUUUUUUAAUGAAAUGUAUUCACUACUGUAAGUCGCUCUGGAGAAGAGCGUCUGCUAAAUGACUAAAAUGUAAAAAAAAUUGCUGGGUCGUGGCAUUGUAAAAGCGAGGGGAUAUACUGUUGAAAUAUGACUUACGGGCUACAGAUAUAGUGUUGAAAUUCUGCUGAUAGUUUACAGAGGGAUUGUAGAGCAUCUAUAGAUGGACUAUAGACUACCUUGAUGAAAAUGUUGAGAUAUACUGUUGAGAUGCUACUGAAAGUCUAAAGAUAUGUUGAUGAAAUACUGCUGAUAGACUAACUGUAGAUGAACUACAGACAUGCAGUUGACAUAUUACUGAUAGUCUGUAGAGCAUCUACAGAUGGACUAUCCAAAUAAAGUGUUACCUUGUGUUAACAUCAAUACAUUUGAUGUGAAACCUGCAAUGAAAUGAAAUCCUACAGGAAUGCAUUGGAUCCAGCAAAGAGGUACAGGUAACCCAUUUUUGCUAAACGUCUUCACAAUGAGUGCACCAAAUUUGACAUGAAGCUAGAAAUAUGGCCGCCAACCAGCUCCAUUGGUUUUAAUUGGAUUGGUAUGACAUUGCUACAACUCUUCCAAUAAUGGUGGAAUAUGCCCAAUGAUAACUGAAAUAUGAUUAUAGUUAUGCAGGUAACACAACCAACUUAGCCAGGUUUGUAAAAUACAUCUUUGUAAAAUAUUAGCAAAAAUCUUCACAACUUUUGCCAAAAACACAUCAUAAUUGUUUUUGGUCAGUAUUUGUAUCACUCAUUUAUAUAUUUUAUAAAAAAAAUGGAUCGAUAAUAUUCCUAAAGGGAUAUUCCUGGUAGCAAUUAUAAUGAUAUACAAUACUAUGCCAUGUUGUUAAAUAUAGAAUCUACGUCUUGAAUCCUGUCAUAUACACGCAUUCCAACAUAAAAGUAUAACAAAACACCUGACAAGAGCAUUAACUUACAUAGCUGGUGAAGAGUAUAAAAGCCUUAGGUUAGCAGCCUUUAUCGAUGGUGUCAAGUUACACUAUGAAAAAAUGGUAUAUUGUAGUGAAAUAUGCAUUGGUUGUUAAAAUUACAUGAUGCACACCAGUAGUCAUCAGUGAUGCAUUCACUUGUGAUGAAUGCUGCAGGCAUUGAUGUCUUGAAAUGCCUGCAAGGGAAAGGAAAAAUGUAUUCAUGUUACCCCUCAAGCUAUGGACUGGGGUCAUUGUGACUCGAGAGGCAUAUUUCUUAAUCAUAGCCCAAAGGUGGUUUAUUAAAUUCUUCAAAUUCUUCAUGACUUUGUCAAUCAACUUGUUCUGUGUUUCUGUAUCAAUAUGGACUUAAAAAAAGUUCAAGUGGCAACGGCAGUGGUAGUAACGGCUGCAGUAGCGGCACUACAGUUAUGGUAGUGGCAGCAGUAGUGGCGGCAGCAGUUGUGGUGGCAGCGGCUGCUGUUGUAGUGGCUGCUGCAGUUACAGUGUGGUGGCAUGGGCUGUCGUAGUGACGGUUACAGUUGUGGUGGCGGCUGCUGUUGCUGUGGUGGCAGGGGCUGUCAUAGUGGUGGCCGUAGUUUUGCUGGCAGCAACUGCAGUGGUGGUUGCAGCAACUGUUGUCUUAGUGGCGGCUGCAGUUGUGGUGGCGGCUGCAGUUGGGAUGGCACCGACUGUCGUAGUGGCGGCUCCAAUUGGGGUGGCAGCGGCUGUCAUAGUUAGCGACUGCUGUUGUGGUGGCAGAGGGUGCUGUUGUUGUAGCAGGGGCUGUCAUAGUGGUGUCUGUAGUUUUGUUGGCAGCAACUGCAGUUGUGGUUGCAGCGGCUGUUAUCUUAGUGGCAGCUGCAGUUAUGGUGGCAAGGGCUGUCAUAGCGGUAGCAGCUGUUGUCAUAGUGGCAGCUGCAGUUCAGUUACCAGCUGCAGCUGUGGUGGCAGUAGCUUUCAUAGUGGCAGCUGCAGUUAUGGUGGCAAGGGUUGUCGAAGUGGCAAUUGUCGUGGUAGCGGCUGAAGUUGUGUGGCAGGGCCUGUCGUAGUGGUGGUUGCAGUUGUGGUGGCAGCUGGAGUUGUAGUGGCAGCGGCUGCUGCAGUUACAGUGUGGUGGCAUGGGCUGUCGUAGUAGCGGCUACAGUUGCGGUGGCGGCUGCUGUUGCUGUGGUGGCAGGGGCUGUCAUAUUGGCGGCUGUAGUUAUGUUGGCAGCAACUGCAGAUGUGGUUGCAGCAGCUGUUGUCUUAGUGGCAGCUGCAGUUAUGGUGGCUGCUGUAGUUGUGGUUGCCUCAGUUGUGGUUGCAGCGGCUGCUGUAAUACUGGCAGCUGCAGUUGGGAUGGCACCGACUAUCGUAGUGGUGAAUCCAAUUGUGGUGACAUGGCCUGUCAUAGUGGUGGCUGCAGUUGUGGUGGCAGCGGCUGUCAUAGUUAGCGACUGUUGUUUUAGCGGCUGAAGGUGUAGUGGCAGGGGCUGUCGUAGUGGCGACUGCUGUUGUGCUGGUAGAUGCUGCUGUUGUAGCGGUUGAAGUUGUGGUGGCAGGGGCUGCCGUAGUGGCAGUUGUGGUGUUUACAUUUGUGGUAGUGAAUGCAGUUCUGGUGACAGCAGAUGUGGUGGCAUCAGCUGCUGUCAUAGCGGAAGCUGCAAUUGGGAUGGCAGCGGCUGUGAAGUGGUGGUUCCAGUUGUGGUGGCAGGGAAUGUCAUAGUUGCGUAUGCAGUUGUGGUGGCAGGGGUUGUCGUAGUGGUGUCUGCAUUUAUGGUGGUAGUGACUGUUGUCGUAGUGGCAGCAGCAGUUGUGGUAGCUGUGGCUGAUGUUAUGGAAGUGGCUAAAGUUGUGGUGUCAGGGGUUGCCAUAGUGGUGGCUGCACUUGUGAUUGCAGUGGCUGCUGUUGUGGUAGCGGCUAAAGUUGUGGUAGCCUGGGUUGUCUUAGUGGUGUCUGCAUUUGUGGUGGCAAGGGCUGUCGUCAUGUGUCCUUAGUUACGGUGGCAGUGGCUGCAGUAGUGGUGGCAGUGGAUGUUGUCAUAGCGGCAGCUGCAGUUGUGGUGGCAGCUGCGGCGGCAGUUGCACUUGUGGCUGAUGUUGUGGAAGCGGCUAAAGUUGUGGUGGCAGGGGUUGCCUUAGUGGUGUCUGCAUUUGUGGUGGUAGAAGCUGUUGUCAUAGUGGCAGAUGCAGUUGUACUGGCAGAGGCUGUCGUCAUAGUGGCAGCUGCUGUUGUGAUAGCAGCUGCACUUGUGAUUGCAGUGGCUGCUGUUGUGGUAGUGGCUAAAGUUGUGGUGGCAGGGGUUGUCGUAGUGGGGCCCUUAGUUACGGUGGCAGGGGCAACAGUAGUGGUGUAAGCUGCACUUGUGGUUGCAGUGGCUGAUGUUGUGGUAGCUUUUAAAGUUGUGGUGGCAGGGGUUGUAUUUGUAGUGCCUGCAGUUGUGCUGGUAGCGGGUGUUGUCGUAGUGGCAACUAAAUUUGUGGUGGCAGGGGUUGUCUUGGUGGUGUAUUUAGUUGUGGCGGUAGCAGCUGUUGUUAUAGUGGCAGCUGCAGGUGUAGUGGCAGAAGCUGUUAUCAUAGUUGCAGCUGCAGUUGAUGUAGCAGCAGUGGUUGCAGUGGCUGCUGUUCUGGUAGUGGCAGCUGUUGUUGUGGUGGCCGUGACUGUCAUAGUUGCAGCUGCAGUUGUGAUUGCAGCUGCUGCUCUUGUGGGACCAGCUGGAGUUGUGGUGGCAGCUACAGUUGUGGUGGCGGCUACAGUUGCUGUGGUGGCAGGGGCUGUCGUAUAUGUGGCUGCAGUUGUGGUGGCAGGGGCUGUCGUAUAUGUGGCUGCAGUUGUGGUGGCAGGGGCUGUCGUAGGGACGUCUGCAGUUACGGUGGCAGGGGCUGCAGUAGUGGUGGCAGCGACUGUGGUCGUGGUGGCAGCUGCAGUUGUGGUGGCAGCAGCUGUUGUGGUAGCAGUCGUAGUGGUGGCUGCACUUGUGGUAGCAGUCGUAGUGGUGGCAAAUGCAGUUGUGGUUGCAGAUGCUGCUCUUGUGGUACCAGCUGGAGUUGUGGUGGCAGUGGCUGCUGUUGUAGUGGCUGCUGUAGUUGUAGUGGCUGCUGUAGUUGUAGUGGCAGCUACAGUUGUGCUGGCGACUGCUGUUGCUAUGGUGGCAGAGGCUGUCGUAGUGGGGUCUGCAUUUGUGGUGGCAGUGGCUGCUGUUGUGGUAGUGGCUAACAUUGUGGUGGCAUGGGUUGUCUUAGUGGUGUCUCCAGUUGUAGUGGUAGAGGCUGUCGUAGUGGCGUCUACAGUUACGGUGGCAGGGGCAACAGUAAUGGUGGCAGUGGCUGUUGUCGUAGUGGCAGCUGCAGUUGUGGUGGCAGUUGCACUUGUGGUUGCAGUGGCUGCUGUUCUGGUAGCGGCUAAAGUUGUGGUGGCAGGGGGUGUUGUCGUAGUGGCAGCUGUUGUUGUGUUGGCCGUGACUGUGGUAGUGGCAGCAGUAGUUGUGGUGGCGGCUACUGUUGCUAUGAUGGCAGGGGCUGUCAUAUAUGUGGCUGCAGUUGAAGUGGCAGGGCCUGUCGUAGGGACGUCUGCAGUUACAGUGGCAGGGGCUGCAGUAGUGGUGGCAGCAGCUGUUGUCAUGGUGGCAGCUGCAGUUGUGGUGGCAGUUGCAGUCGUGGUGGUGGCAGCUGCAGUCGUGGUGGCGGCAGCUGCAGUCGUGGUGGCGGCAGCUGCAGUCGUGGUGGCGGCAGCUGCAGUCGUGGUGGCGGCCGCUGCAGUCGUGGUGGCGGCCGCUGCAGUCGUGGUGGCGGCUGCAGUUGUGGUAGCAGUCGUAGUGGUGGCAAAUGCAGUUGUGGUUGCAGAUUCUGCUCUUGUGGUACCAGCUGGAGUUGUGGUGGCAGCGGCUCCUGUUGUGGUGGCUGCUGUAGUUGUAGUGGCAUCUACAAUUGUGCUGGCAACUGCUGUUGCUAUGGUGGCAGAGGUUGUCGUAGUGGAAGCUGCAGUUGUGGUAGGAGUCGUAGUGGUGUCUGCAUUUGUGCUGGCAGGGUCUGUCGUUAUUGCAGCUGCUGUGAUGGUAGCAGCUGCACUUGUGGUUUCAGUGGCUACUGUGUUGGUAAAGGCUAAAGUUGUGGUGGCAUGAGUUGUCUUAGUGGUGUCUCCAGUUGUGGUGGCAGGGCCUGUCAUAGUGGCGUCUGCAGUUACAGUGGCAGGGGCUACAGUAGUGGUGGCAGCGGCUGUUGUCAUGGUGGCAGCUGCAGUUGUGGUGGCAGUUGCAGUCGUGGUGGUGGCAGCUGCAGUCGUGGUGGUGGCAGCUGCAGUCGUGGUGGUGGCAGCUGCAGUCGUGGUGGUGGCAGCUGCAGUCGUGGUAGCAGUCGUAGUGGUGGAAAAUGCAGUUGUGGUUGCAGAUUCUGCUCUUGUGGUACCAGCUGGAGUUGUGGUGGCAGCGGCUCCUGUUGUGGUGGCUGCUGUAGUUGUAGUGGCAUCUACAGUUGUGCUGGCGACUGCUGUUGCUAUGGUGACAGAGGCUGUCGUAGUGGAAGCUGCAGUUGUGGUAGGAGUCGUAGUGGUGUCUGCAUUUGUGCUGGCAGGGUCUGUCGUUAUUGCAGCUGCUGUUGUGGUAGCAGCUGCACUUGUGGUUGCAGUGGCUGCUGUGUUGGUAAAGGCUAAAGUUAUGGUGGCAUGAUUUGUCUUAGUGGUGUUUCCAGUUGUGGUGGCAGGGGCUGCAGUAGUGGUGGCAGCGGCUGUCGUCGUAGUGGCAGCUGCAGUUGUGCUGGCAGCGGCUGUCGUCUUAGUAUCAGCUGCAGUUGUGGUGGCAGCUGCACUUGUGGUUGCAGUGGCUGCUGUUGUGGUAGCGGAUAAAGUUGUGGUGGCAUGGGUUGUCUUUGUGGUGUCUCCAGUUGUGGUGGCAGGGGCUGUCAUAGUGGUGUCUACAGUUACGGUGGCAGGGGCUGCAGUAGUGGUGGCAGUGGCUGCUGUCGAGGUGGCAGGGGUUGUCUUAGCAGUGUCUACAGUUGUGGUGGUAGCGGCUGUUGUCGUAGUGGCAGCUGCAGUUGUGGUUGAAGCUGCUGCUCUUGUAGUACCAGCUGGAGUUGUGGUGACAAUUGCUACUGUUGUAGUGGCUGCUGUAGUUGAAGUGGCGGCUACAGUUGUGGUGGUGGCGGCUGCUGUUGCUGUGGUUGCAGGGGCUGUUGUAUAUAUGGCUGCAGUUGUGGUGGCAGGGGCUGUCGUAGGGACGUCUGCAGUUACGGUGGCAGGGGCUGCAGUAGUGGUAGCAGUGGCUGCUGUCGAGGUGGCAGGGGUUGUCUUAUUGGUGUCUGAAGUUGUGGUGGUAGCGGCUGUUAUCAUAGUGGCAGCUGCAGUUGAUGUAGCAGCUGCACUUGUGGUUGCAAUGGCUGCUGUUCUUGUAGCGGCUAAAGAGUUGGUGGCAUGGGCUGUCUUAGUGGUGUCUCCAGUUGUGGUGGCAGGGGCUGUCGUAGUGGCGUCCUUAGUUAUGGUGGCAGGGGCUGCAGUAGUGGUGUCUGCUGCAGUUGUGGUGGUAGCGGCUGUUGUCAUAGGGGCAGCUGUCGUAGCAUAUGCACUUGUAUUUGCAGUGGCUGCUGUUGUGGUAGCGGCUAAAGUUGUGGUGGCAGGGGGUGUUGUCGAAGUGGCAGCUGUCGUAGUGGCGGCUGCAGUUGUGGUUGCAGCUCUUGUGGUACCAGCUGGAGUUGUGGUGGCAGUUGCUACUGUUGUAGUGGCUGCUGUAGUUGUAGUGGCGGCUACAGUUGUGCUGCCGACUGCUGUUGCUAUGGUGGCAGAGGCUAUUGUAGUGGAAGCUGCAGUUGUGGUAGUAGUUGUAGUGGUGUCUACAGUUGUGGUAGCAGGGGCUGUCGUCGUAGUGGCAGCUGCUGUUUUGUUAGCAGUCAUAGUGGCAGCUGCUGUUGUUUUUGCAGAUGCUGCUCUUGUGGUACCAGCUGAAGUUGUGGUGGCAGCGGCUGCUGUUGUGGUGGCAGCGGCUGCUGUUGUGGUGGCAGUCGUUGUGGUGGCUGCUGUUGUGGUGGCAGUCGUUGUGGUGGCUGCUGUUGUGGUUGCAGAUGCUGCUCUUGUGGUACCAGCUGGAGUUGUGGAGGCAGCGGCUGCUGUAGUCGUAGUGGCUGCUGUAGUCGUAGUAGCAUCUACAGUUGUGCUGGCGGCUGCUGUUGCGGCAGAGACUGUCGUAGUGGAAGCUAAAGUUGUGGUAGUAGUCGUAUUGGUGUCUGCAGUUGUGGUGGCAGGGUCUGUUGUAAUUUCAGCUGCAGUUGUGGUGGCAGGGACUGUCAUAGUGGCGUCUGCAUUUGUGGUGGCAGUGGCUGUCGUAGUGGCGUCUACAGUUACGGAGGCAGCGGCUGCAGUAGUGGUGUCAGCGACUGUCGUCAUAGUGGCAGCUGCAGUUGUGGUAGCAGCUGCACUUGUGGUUGCUGUGGCUGCUGUUGUGGUAGCGGCUAAAGUUGUGGUGGCAUGGGAUGUCUUAGUAGUGUCUCCAGUUGUGUUGGCAGAGGCUGUCGUAGUGGCGUCUACAGUUACGGUGGCAGGGGCUGCAGUAGUGGUGGCAGGGGCUGCUGUAGUGGUGGCAGGGGUUGUCUUAGUGGUGUCUACAGUUGUGGUGGUAGCGACUGUUAUCAUAGUGGCAGCUGCAGUUGAUGUAGCAGCUACACUUGCUGUUGCAAUGGCUGCUGUUCUGGCAGCGGCUAAAGUUUUGGUGGCAUGGGCUGUCUUAGUGGUGUCUCCAGUUGUGGUGGCAGGGGCUGUCGUAGUGGCGUCCUUAGUUAUGGUGGCAGACUCUGCAGUUGUGGUGUCAGCUGCAGUUGUGGUGUCAGCUACAGUUGUGGUGGCAGCGGCUGUCAUCAUAGUGGCAGCUGCAGUUGUGGUGGCAGCUGCACUUGUGGUUGCAAUGGCUGCUGUUCUGGUAGCAGUUAAAGUUUUGGUGGCAUGGGCUGUCUUAGUGGUGUCUCCAAUUGUGGUGGCAGGGGCUGUCGUAGUGGCGUCCUUAGUUAUGGUGGCAGGGGCUGCAGUUGUGGUGUCAGCUGCAGUUGUGGUGUCAGCUACAGUUGUGGUGGCAGUGGCUGUCGUCAUAGUGGCAGCUGCAGCUGUGGUAGUAGCGGCUGUUGUCGUAGGGGCAGCUGCAGUUGUGGUUGCAGUUGUUACUGUUGUAGUGGCUGCUGUAUUCAUAGUGGUGGCUACAGUUAUGGUGGCAGCUGCUGUUGCUGUGGUGGCAGGGACUGUCAUAGUGGAACCUACAGUUGUGGUAAUGUCUGCAGUUGUGUUGGCAGGGGCUAUCCUAUUAGUGGCUGCAGUUACGGUGGCAGGGGCUGUCGUAGUGGUGGCAAUGGCUGUUGUCGUGGUGGCAAAUGCAGUUGUGGUGUCAGCGGCUGUCGUCAUAGUGGCAGCUGCACUUGUGGUUGCAAUGGCUGCUGUUCUUGUAGCGGCUAAAGAGUUGGUGGCAUGGGCUGUCUUAGUGGUGUGUCCAGUUGUGGUGGCAGGGGCUGUCGUAGUGGCGUCCUUAGUUAUGCUGGCAGAGGCUGCAGUAGUGGUGUCAGCUGCAGUUGUGGUGUCAGCUGCAGUUGUGGUGGUAGUGGCUGUCG